RNAcentral lists this ribosomal RNA (468 nucleotides) under uncultured bacterium. RNAcentral's name for it is "partial 16S ribosomal RNA". It matches the Rfam family "Bacterial small subunit ribosomal RNA", at positions 28 to 507 of the family's 1533-position model. The record is from RNAcentral.
GACGAACGCUGGCGGCGUGCUUAACACAUGCAAGUCGAACGGAAAGGCCCUGCUUUUGUGGGGUGCUCGAGUGGCGAACGGGUGAGUAACACGUGAGUAACCUGCCCUUGACUUUGGGAUAACUUCAGGAAACUGGGGCUAAUACCGGAUAGGAGCUCCUGCUGCAUGGUGGGGGUUGGAAAGUUUCGGCGGUUGGGGAUGGACUCGCGGCUUAUCAGCUUGUUGGUGGGGUAGUGGCUUACCAAGGCUUUGACGGGUAGCCGGCCUGAGAGGGUGACCGGCCACAUGGGGACUGAGAUACGGCCCAGACUCGUACGGGAGGCAGAAGUGGGGAGUAUUGCACAAUGGGCGGAAGCCUGAUGCAGCAACGCCGCGUGCGGGAUGACGGCCUUCGGGUUGUAAACCGCUUUCGCCUGUGACGAAGCGUGAGUGACGGUAAUGGGUAAAGAAGCACCGGCUAACUACGUG